RNAcentral lists this transfer RNA (69 nucleotides) under Rattus norvegicus (Norway rat). It matches the Rfam family "tRNA". From Rfam's summary of the family: Transfer RNA (tRNA) molecules are approximately 80 nucleotides in length. Their secondary structure includes four short double-helical elements and three loops (D, anti-codon, and T loops). Further hydrogen bonds mediate the characteristic L-shaped molecular structure. tRNAs have two regions of fundamental functional importance: the anti-codon, which is responsible for specific mRNA codon recognition, and the 3' end, to which the tRNAs corresponding amino acid is attached (by aminoacyl-tRNA synthetases). tRNAs cope with the degeneracy of the genetic code in two manners: having more than one tRNA (with a specific anti-codon) for a particular amino acid; and 'wobble' base-pairing, i.e. permitting non-standard base-pairing at the 3rd anti-codon position. The record is from Rfam by way of RNAcentral. Lineage: Eukaryota; Metazoa; Chordata; Mammalia; Rodentia; Muridae.
GGAGAUUUAGCUCAGCGGUAGAGCGCUUGCCUAGCAAGCUCAAGGCCCUGGGUUCGGUCCCCAGCUCCA